Molecule: ribosomal RNA, 119 nt
Filed under: Saimiri boliviensis boliviensis (Bolivian squirrel monkey)
Lineage: Eukaryota; Metazoa; Chordata; Mammalia; Primates; Cebidae
Source: RNAcentral
GUCUAUGGCCAUACCACCCUGAAUGUACCUGUUCUUAUCUGAUCUCAGAAGCUAAGCAGGGUUGGGCCUGGUUAGUACUUGGAUAGGAGACUGCCUGGGAAUACCGGGUGCUGUAGGCU